This 253-nucleotide ribosomal RNA is filed under the name uncultured bacterium. Its description in RNAcentral is "partial 16S ribosomal RNA". It matches the Rfam family "Bacterial small subunit ribosomal RNA", at positions 524 to 776 of the family's 1533-position model. The record is from RNAcentral.
UACGAAGGGGGCGAGCGUUGUUCGGAAUUACUGGGCGUAAAGGGCGCGCAGGCGGCUCUGAAAGUCAGAUGUGAAAUGCCCGGGCUUAACCUGGGAACUGCAUUUGUGACUGCAUGGCUAGAGUUUGGCAGAGGGGGGUAGAAUUCCACGUGUAGCAGUGAAAUGCGUAGAUAUGUGGAGGAACACCGAUGGCGAAGGCAGCCCCCUGGGUCAAGACUGACGCUCAUGCACGAAAGCGUGGGGAGCAAACAGG